RNAcentral lists this ribosomal RNA (914 nucleotides) under uncultured bacterium. Its description in RNAcentral is "bacterial SSU rRNA". It matches the Rfam family "Bacterial small subunit ribosomal RNA", at positions 10 to 914 of the family's 1533-position model. The record is from RNAcentral. RNAcentral also lists the same sequence under 1 other name.
ACUUUGAUCCUGGCUCAGGAUGAACGCUAGCUACAGGCUUAACACAUGCAAGUCGAGGGGAAACGACAUCGAAAGCUUGCUUUUGAUGGGCGUCGACCGGCGCACGGGUGAGUAACGCGUAUCCAACCUGCCCAUCACUUGGGGAUAACCUUGCGAAAGUAAGACUAAUGCCCAAUGAUAUCCCACGAAGACAUCCGAAUGGGAUUAAAGAUUUAUCGGUGAUGGAUGGGGAUGCGUCUGAUUAGCUUGUUGGCGGGGUAACGGCCCACCAAGGCGACGAUCAGUAGGGGUUCUGAGAGGAAGGUCCCCCACAUUGGAACUGAGACACGGUCCAAACUCCUACGGGAGGCAGCAGUGAGGAAUAUUGGUCAAUGGGCGAGAGCCUGAACCAGCCAAGUAGCGUGCAGGAUGACGGCCCUAUGGGUUGUAAACUGCUUUUAUAAGGGAAUAAAGUGAGUCUCGUGAGACUUUUUGCAUGUACCUUAUGAAUAAGGACCGGCUAAUUCCGUGCCAGCAGCCGCGGUAAUACGGAAGGUCCGGGCGUUAUCCGGAUUUAUUGGGUUUAAAGGGAGCGUAGGCCGGAGAUUAAGCGUGUUGUGAAAUGUAGAGGCUCAACCUCUGCACUGCAGCGCGAACUGGUCUUCUUGAGUACGCACAACGUGGGCGGAAUUCGUGGUGUAGCGGUGAAAUGCUUAGAUAUCACGAAGAACUCCGAUUGCGAAGGCAGCUCACGGGAGCGCAACUGACGCUGAAGCUCGAAAGUGCGGGUAUCGAACAGGAUUAGAUACCCUGGUAGUCCGCACGGUAAACGAUGGAUGCCCGCUGUCGGCCUGAAUAGGUCAGCGGCCAAGCGAAAGCAUUAAGCAUCCCACCUGGGGAGUACGCCGGCAACGGUGCAACUCAAAUGAAUUGAC